RNAcentral lists this long non-coding RNA (26809 nucleotides) under Vigna radiata. RNAcentral's name for it is "long non-coding RNA (VRAD_LNC006960)". Lineage: Eukaryota; Viridiplantae; Streptophyta; Magnoliopsida; Fabales; Fabaceae. The record is from RNAcentral.
UUAAACUACACUUAGCAAAUACUUAAAAUAAUCAGACUCCAAAAUGUAAAACUAUGGAGGUAACUAAAUCCACACACUUAAUAACAACGAAUAUAUAAUCUUCAUAGACAGUAGCCAACAUAAUUGGUAAAACCAUUCGGUCCCAUGAAAUUUAAACCGUAAAGAAAAUUCUCAAAAGUUGAUAGAUAACAAAAUUAUCGAAAGAUGAAACAAAAAUCCUUGUGCCUACAAAUAAGCUGUGAAUUCUACUGAGCGACUUCUCACCUGUAUCUGCAAUAAAGAAAUCAAUGUAAAAUAAGGAGAAUGUAAUAUACAUUAAUAAAACACAAGCAGGCAAGUAGUACUAAUUAAAUCAAUUUCAUGAACAAAUGGAAACCAGACAUCCACAAGCAUAUGAACACACGGAUAACUUUUAAGAGGAUUCAUCUUCUAUUUUCAUAAUCAAAUAAUAAUAAUAGAAAAUUAAUGAUACCAUAAGCCAGACAACUUACUUAAAUUACAUAAAACAUCACUAUAAAAACAAAGAAUAGAGACUUCUACAAAGCUAUGUAAAUAAAGCAAUUCAUAACCUUUUGAUAGCAUUCUAAACAAUAGACCUUGUCUCACGCAAAUCCUUGUAGAUUAAUGCACCAUAAAAUGCGCAGAUAUACAAAACCACAAAUGUAUAUUACAUUUACCAUUUUGUAUUGCAAUAUAGGUUAUUCUUUUUUCUAUCAUGUGAAUAUAAAUAUUGGUAUGUGACUCUUUAUAUUAUACAAGCAACUUACAAGAGAGUAAAUCUGAAAGGAAAAACAGAACAAGUCAAGCAUCGAUGUACAACAAAUCCAUAAUUAAUAUCUAUGUCAAAAACCACAUCUGAGAGGUGAAGUCCACACAAUGACAUAAGCCAGGAAAUAUAACAGGAAUGUUUCCAAAUAUGAAGCAAAAAGACAAAUGACAACCUAAUUACCUCAGAUGUUACUUGGGUACAUGAACACUCUAACCCGUGCUCCCUGUAAUGCAUCAGAACUCAAAAACAUCAGAUACCAAUAAAAAAAACGAAUUGAUAAAGCAGUGCUUUCAAAUAUUUACCAUUGAUCUGGGAGGAAGGUUUGACUUGAAUUUAGCACGAACAACACCACUGUUACCAUGAGGCCUUGUAACCUUACCCCAAAUGCAACGGUAGUGGCUUCCAUUCUUCUUCACCUUAGCCUUGUAAAUAUAGGCCAUUCUCUUGCCAGCAUACCAUCCUACUUCUUCUUUGGUGUUCACUCCCUCGAUUUGGAUCAGGGAUGUGUUGGGAUACUGGUUUGACUUGGACCUGAAAGAUGUUUCCCAGUGUAAGGCAACUAACAAGGCAAUGGAGAAGCAAGAUAAAAAUAAAACCAACAAGGAAAGAAGCAUUCACCUUUUGUAUCCAAGGAUUGUACCCCUCACAUAGAGUCUAAAGCAAAAGGAAAAAAGGAGUGUUAUGUUAAUUUCAACAAGUUAUGCAGUCAUUGAGGAAUUGUUUAAUAGGAAAAUAAAUAUAUACAGCAGCGAACAAAAUAUGAAUCAAUACAAGAACAAAAACCAGUAUUCAAAUCAUUUUAUCUUGCUCCCUGAAAAAAAUAACCAACCGGUCACUAAAUUAAUGUUAACAUAUCAUAUAUAUUUCUGUGACUAUCCACAAAACCAGUUAAAUCUGUAACAGCGACUACAUUCCAAUUCUAACAACCAUCAAUAAACCAAAACCCUUCAACUUCCAAGAACCCUAGUGGGUAAAAUAACAAAUCAACAAUGCAGACCAUGAAGUAAAAGAGGGCACGUUCGGUCUUUAAAACAGAAUAAACGAGUCAGUUUUAAGGAAUAAGGAAUCGAAUGUAAAAAAGUUAUGAUUGGUGCUUCAAAAGAAAAAAAGGCAAGUGUUGAAGACAGAGCGCAAAAUUUAGCAAUGGGCGAAAUCUAUAGGUCGUGGAAAUGAAAGAAGGAAUACCUGACGCGCUCUCCUUGGCGUCCCUUCACCAUCUUCGUUGCUAGCUGCAGCUGACACACGACACAAACAGCGACACUGCGGCGUAACCCUAAAAUUCUCAGAAUUGGGUUUUUAGGGUUUUUAUAAGAAGUUCGCAAGAAACUCUGCUGAAUCGGGUUUUGAAUUAGGCCCAAUAGAAAAUGUUUAUAGGCCUUGCUGCUUCUGGCCCGUAUUAACUGUUUGAUUUGUUAAGGACAAAAAAAUACAUUUAUAUAUGAACUAUGAAACAUACAAAGAAGUCGUUGGUACGUAAAAAGAUUUCCAUAUACUUGAAUGAAAAUAUAUUUUAUUAAAAGUAACAAAAGUCUGGGAGAUUAAAUGGUAAAACGUUCAAUAUCAUCAACGAAAAUUGAAUAUUUUUUUUUUAUAACAACAGCUGAAAACACAUGCACUAUUAUAUGUAUUCACUUUUUUUAUUAAAAUGGUUAAAUUUUUAAAAGAAUAAUCUCUUAAAAAGUAAAAUUUAUAAACAAUUACUUAUUAAAGAGCAAAAUGUGACCACAAAAUUAAAUCUUUUUAUAGAACAAAAUGUUGAGAUCAAAAAUAUAGAAAAGGGAAGGAAGGAGAGAGAAAAAGAAAGAAGAGAUAAGACAUUUUUUUUAUAAUUUAAUAAGAGGAAAAAGAUUGUAUUUAAUGGGUCAUAAAAUUAAUUUUUGUUAAUGAGCAAUCUUUUAUCUCUAGUUUCACAAAAAUGCUAGAAUUUAUAUUAAAAUCUUGCUAUUUUUAUGUUUAUAUGAACUAAAAACGUUUGAGAACUAUGUUUCUCUUAAUAUAUUUAUCGUUAACAUUUAAUUUUAUCUAUUUUAUAUAUAAUUAAGUUUGUCAUUUUUCACAAAUAAAUAAUUUAAACUAACAUUGUAUCUUUUUUCUAGAAUAACAAAAGAAAAUUGUUUUAAAAUCAGAUUUUUUUUUUUUUAAAUAAAAAGUGCUGAUUGUAAGAGCAUGAAUAAAUAACAAGCACUAUUGGGCCCUAAUUGAAGGCAGCCAGACCCAUCAGACUAGGGGCUCAUGACCUUAGCAAGGGUCUUUCUCCAAAAAGUCAUAUUCUUCAUUCGCAACUUUUCCCUUCUCUCUCUAAAAAAAAGAAACCAUUCUCUCUAAAUAUUGCUCUGCCUUCCCUCUAAGGAAUCAACACACUAAAUUGUUUAAUUUUUAGUUUGAAGGUGCCUAAGCGUUCACAGCAGUAAGGGCUUCGCAGUGAACCAAAUAAUUUCUCUGUACCAUUCUAGUAAGUGGUUCUUCUGUUUCUCCGCCAUUUUGAUACUUAGGGUUUGGGGGUUCUACUAAUUUUAUGCAGUUAGAACUGUUCUUUUUCUAAUUCCGGUUAAGUCAUAACUCUAAGAGUUACUUUCUACCGCCUAUACGGAGGUAUAUAGGUAUUGUUGCGUUCUGUCCGGGGGUGAGACUCCCUUAGGGCAUUUUCAAAUUAUCUGCUCUUUGAGAAACCUAGGUAAGGGGAGCUAAUUAUUUUCCUUUGAAUGAAAUGUUUGAAUCUGCUUGAUAAAUGUAUGUAUGUUAUACUCUAGAUUGUUAUACUGCUUUGGACUGUAUUUUUGGAUUUUAAGUUGAUUUAACGGAUGAACUGAAAUGUGCAAAUUAGUGAAAUUGGAAUGUGGUAUUUAUGAACGUGACUGGUGUGGAAUUAGCUGCUGUAAAUUUAAUGUAUGGGAAGUAGAUAGGAACAUGCAGGAGAAAUAUAUUUUUAUUAAGGGUAGAAACUCAUGAAAAUAGGUAGAAGAAGAUGGAAGGGAAAAGUAAUGGGUGUUAUAUUUAUCGUUGGACGCAAAGAGGAAUGUUUUCACUACUUUUGGGAUUGGAGCUUUAGAAAAAGAAAGAUGAAAGUCUAUGUCUAAAUGCUGCAGUGGUGAAAUUAAAAUGAAGAAAAAGAGAAUGGAGAGAGGCUUGGAAUGGCUUGGGGUUCUUUCUGUUACAGGAUAAAUGGCUACGUGAGAAUGAGUUCUAGUAGUAGUUAUAGAAGUAAUAAAACAAGGUGGAGUGAUGAACAUUAAUAUAUAUAUAUAUAUAUAUAUAUAUAUAUAUAUAUAUAUAUAUAUAUAUAUAUAUAUAUAUAUAUAUAUAUAUAUUUGUGUGUGUGAGUGUGCGCGCGCGUGCGCGUUGUGAGAAAGGAAGAAGAGUAGGGGUUCUGCCUGAGAGUGGAAAGCAUUGUUUUUAGAAGAAAAGAAAGAAGACAACGAGCAUGUUGAUGUGGUGAAAGAGUUUCAUAUUUUAUUUAUAUAUAUACAUAUAUUGGGUGUGGGGUACACAACAUAUAUAACAUGUUCAGAGGAGAGUUCUUGGGGGCUUUCACGUAAAGCUAGAAAUAAAGAAAAGAAAAGGUUUAAUACCUAUUUUGGUCCCUCUUUUGGUAGGUUCUAUUCAAAGUGGUCUUCCCUUUUUUAAAAAGUUCACUAAAGUCUUACUUUUCGCAAAAACGGUGCACAUUAGUCCUUUUUGCUUACGACGUUAAUUUUGCUAACGGCAAAGCUGCCCAGUUGACAAAUAUUUGAUGACUUGUAACGUUUUGGCUGUGCUAGCACUAUGACUUCAUUAGAUGUGUAAAAAAAAUAAUUAAUUGUGACGUGGAAUUUAAGAAAGUUAGGGUUGAAAUAAAAUUUGAAUUUGGGGUAAUUAAUUCUAACUAUCCCUAAUUACUCCCAAAUUGGGAAUUUCCAUUCUCAGAAAUCAAAAGUUGGGGAAUUCUAUGACACGUGCAGAGGUAGUGGCCUCUUUGUGGCUAGAGCGAUGGUGUUGCGCAGGCGCACUUCUUCCUUCCAUUUUCACGUGUUGGUUCGACUUGCAGGGAAUCCUUCUUCUUCCUCUUGUUUAUGUUGUUUUCUAAUGCAAAGGGGAUGUGAGACAGUGGCAACAAAGAUGGCGAUGGCAUUAACACGAUGGUUGGCGAGGACAACGAUGACUUCGUGACUAGGGUUUCGAUUAGGGUUUUGGAAUUCAUUUUUUCCUUUGUUUUUUGCGAUUGUGGUUCUUGAUGGUCACAAAUUGGGAACUUAGGGGUUUGAUUUUAGGGUUUUUGAAAUUGGAAAUUUUUCCUUUGGGGUUUUUAUUCUUGAUUUUUCUGGUGUUGCGACUGGAGGGGUUGGGAUUUUCAUUUUUAGAUUGGAUUUUUGUGGUGGUUUCUACAACAGCUGGCAUGGCCAUGAGGGUGGCGGCACAAGGAAGGAGAAAAGUUUCUACAUUUGAUUUUUGAGAAUGGAAAUUCCCAAUUUGGGAGUAAUUAGGGAUAGUCAAAAUUAAUUACCCCAAAUUCAAAUUUUAUUUCAACCCUAACUUUCUUAAAUUCCAUGUCACAAUUAAUUAUUUUUUUUUUACACAUCUAAUGAAGUCACAGUGCCAGCACAGCUAAAACGUUACAAGUCAUCAAGUAUUUGCCAACUGGGCAGCUCUACCGUUAGCAAAAUUAACGCCGUAAGCAAAAAGGACUAACAUGCACCGUUUUUGUGAAAAGUAGGACUUUAGUGAACUUUUUAAAAAUGGGAGGACCACUUUGAACAACCCUACCAAAAGAAGGACCAAAAUAGGUAUUAAACCAAAGGAAAACUAGUUUUGUUGCUUGACCUUGAAUCUUUUUAUAGCACUAGAAGAUAAUGGGGUGGGUUCCACUUCAUAAUUCUUAAAGGGAUAUUUCUUUGAAAUAUAGGUAUGUGUGACCUCGAACUCCAAAGGCUAUAGAAUUCUUUAUUCCCUUUAUUUUUACUGAACUUCUUGGAAAGAGGUAGGUAAGUUUAAUAGGUGGGGUCCAUUUAUUUUAAGUUUAAAAGGAAAUGAAGCAAAAUGAUUGAAAAGGCAAGUUAAGUUUUAUUUCUUAGUAUAAAAUGAAAAGAUAUAAAGGCUAUACGUUGCAGUAGAAAAAGUUUGGUAUAAUAAUAUAAGUUUAAACCAUUUAGGCGUCCCUAUUUUUGUUAGGUAUUCCCAAUUUGGUCCCCUUCUUUUAAAGUUUCCCAAUUGAGUCCUUAUAAGUGCUAAUUUGAAACAAUUUAGCCUCUGCCGUUAAAAAUCGUUAACGGUGUUAAAAUUAUGCACAUAUGGUUGUCUGACGUGAUAAAUGUUUUAGUUAAAGGUGAAACGUGGCACUGUUGAGAGGGAAACAUGGCAAUGUUAAAACCUGUUGAGUAUUAUUGGUCUUUAUAGGGUCAUUCGGUCAAUCUUUUUCCAAAUACCAAUAUCACAGUCAGUUCUUUCCUUAAUACUUUUAGGUACCUAAAUAUUCGUACUCCCUUGAUGAAGAGGGUAUUUGCAAACAUGCCUUUGAGUUGAUUUUUGCAUUUGAUGAAGUCAUCUCUUUGGGGCACAAGGAAAAUGUGAUUGUUGCACAAGUUAAGCAAUACUAUGAGAUGGAGAGUCAUGAAGAGAAGUUGCUCAAGUUGGUUUUGCAGAGCAAGAUUAGUGAAACUAAGGAUGUCAUGAAGAGAAAAGCUAGUGAGAUUGAUAAAAGCAAGGUAUGAUUGAAGGAUCUAUGUUUCAUUAUGAUGCUUAUAUUUAAAGCCUGGGAUUGUAUAUUGUUUAUUAAGUCACGUGUUCUACAGAUUGAAAAGAACAGAGGUGAUAAAGGAGGAUUUGGUCCAUUGCAGUCAAUGGGCUCCGGUAGAAUUGAAAAUAGCUUUAGUGAUUUAAGUAUAUCAAAGUGGAACUGGUUUUGGAAGCGGCUCUGGUUUUGGAUUGACUAUUAAUCACAAUUAAUUUUAAUCUAAUUAUAUAAAAUUUAGAAAAUGAAAAAAGGAAUUAGGGUUCAGUUCAAUAAAAAAAUAUUGGGAUUCAAUUACAAUAGAAAUCUGAAUCCUAAUUUUUGUCGUUGUUGCGGAUCUUCACCUUUCUACACUCCCUGUGUUCCCAAUUUUAAAAAUCUACCUCUGCGUUUUCCUUCGGAUCAAAUUUUGAUCUCUCCGCUUGUUUUCGCGCAAUGUCGUUGCCCUGAAUCUGACACCAAAUUAGAGUCCACGAGAUUUCACAAAGUAACGACGACCACAUCGCGAGAAAAAAACCUUUAUUUCUUCGAAUGGGGUUGGUGCCAUCAAUGUCGCGCAAGAGUGGCACAUUCUCUCCGGAGAUGGCAGAGUUGUUACCAAUAAGGAGCAUUGGUAAAACUUGAAGAAUUGUUUUGAUGAUGCUGCAAGAAGUAUUAUCUAAAGAGAACAUUAGAUUUAUUUAAAAAGAAACUUGUAGAAUUUGGAUGUAGUAGGAAAAUCUUAAACCUUGUAUUUUUAACUUGAAUAAUCGAUUAUGGAUAAGCUAUAAUCGAUUAUCACUUGCAUUUUGUACUAGAAUAAUCGAUUAUCAUGAAGCAAUAAUCGAUUAUCACAAGUCAUUCAGGAAUAAUCGAUUAUCACUUCAUAUAAUCGAUUAUCACAUUUUGAAAAACCUGUAACGGACUUGAAUAAUCGAUUAUCACUUACAAUAAUCGAUUGUCAGUGGCAGUUGGGACUUGACCUUUCAUAUUCAGACUAGCUGCCUAUAUAUGGAUGCUUAGAGAACUUCAGAAAUUGAACGUUGUGAACUUAGGUCUUUUGUAGAAUACAGUUUGUCUGAGGAAGUUCUCAAAAGCUAGUUUUGUUCCCUUGCCUGGUCUCGUGAAUAGGAGAAGCUUGCGUUUCGUGUGUCGAUAGUCGGAGCGGUUCUCUUCGAGUUGGCAAGGUGCUCUGCCUGGUCUCGUGAAUAGGAGAAGCUCACGUUUCCUGUGUCGAAAGUCGGAGCGGUUCUCUUCGAGUUGGCAGAGUGUUUGCUUCCGGUUCGUGUGUCGAAGGAAGCACUUCCAAUUCGUUUGUCGAAGGAAGUUACUCAUUACACUCUUCCGGUUCGUUUGUCGAAGGAAGGUGUUUUCUAUCCCCUACUCAUUUCAUUAUUUUGUAAUCUGUACAACUAUAUUUUUAGUGAAAAUCGUUAAUCACUUUUUAUAGUGAUUAACAACUGGAUGUAGAAUCUUUUGAUUCGAACCAGUAUAAAUAUCAUUUGUGUGAUUUUUCUAUUCCCCACACUCCUUAAUCUUUUAGCACUCCAACUGUUCGAUAAAAGUUUUACAAGAAAUUUAAAACUGAUAAAGGAACUUAUUUUUGUGACCGAACACGCUUUCCGCUCUCUGAGUUUUAAUUCCUCUGCGUUAUACUCUUCGAACCAUACCCCUCCGAUACCAACAGGAGUAUUUGAUCAGGACUUUAGUCGGUAACCAACCCUUCCCUCUCUCGUCAGAGUUCUGGCGGAAAUUGUUGGAGCUUCCUCUCAAUGUCCAAUGGUCGGCUCACUAGUGGUUGAAUCCUAAUUUUGCGUUGAUUUUCGGAGUUGAGGUUGAUCGAGGGAAUGAGGAUUGUUGGGCUCACUGCUGGAAUAGCAUCUGGGAAGAGCACCGUUUCAAAUUUGUUUGAGUCACAUGGUGUUCCCGUUGUUGAUGCUGAUGUCGUUGCUCGUGUAAGUUCCUCUUCUCUGUUUUUGAUUUGGGAAAAACAAUACAAUGAUCUGUGAUUGUUUAUUGGAAUUCGCAGGUGUUAAGGAAAGGGAGUGGUGGAUGGAAGAAAGUGGUUGCGGCUUUCGGGGAUGUCGUGAUUAACAGUUUUUAACAUUGCCACGUUUCCCUCUCAACAGUGUCACGUUUCACCUUCAACUAAAACAUUUAACAUGUCAGACAAUCAUCUGUGCAUAAUUUUAACACCAUUAAUGAUUUUUAACGACAGGGACUAAAUUGUUCAAAUUAGCACUUAUAAGGACUCAAUUGGAAAACUUUAAAAGAAGGGAACCAAAUUGGGAAUACCUAAUAAAAAUAGAGACACCCAAAUGAUUUAAACCAAUAAUAUAUUAUAGUUUAUGUAUAUUAGGAUGGAGUUCACAUCUUUAAUUCCAUGAAAAAUAAAAUACAUGUGUAGAGGGAAUGCGAGAAAAAUGAAGAAAUUGUGGAAUGUGAUGCAGGGGUGGUUUAGUAUAUGGAAGUAGUUGGUGUUAGGAAAUUUAUGUUAAAGGGUUUAUAUAAUAUAUUAAUAUAGUACGUAUUUUUAUAAAGAAAGUAUGAUAAUAUAUUAAAUUAAUAUAUUAUAUAUUGAAGAAGGAGGAAGUCACGUAUUGUAUUAUAUAUAUAUAUAUAUAUAUAUAUAUAUAUAUAUAUAUAUAUAUAUAUAUAUAUAUAUAUAUAUAUAUAUAUAUAUAUAUAUAUAUAUAUCAUCUUGGUCAUGUUUAGUGAUACGGAUGGUAAGUCAUAGGAGGUUAGUAUAUUCUAGAUGUUUUGGGAGUUUAAAUUAUUAAACUGAAUAAUUUUAUUGUUAUUUAAAGGUUUUAAGAUGGAUGAUUUUAUGUAUAUAUUCGGUAAUAAUGAUUAUGAAAAGUAAUAAGACUUGUGUUAUAUAUUUUGUGACCGAUAAGAAAUAUAUAUUGUUGAGAUUAUGUAUGUGUUGAUUGUGGCAAAAAGUAUAUGAUUACAAAGUGAUGAAAGUACGAUCCAAGUAAUAAAUCAAAUUCUAUCUGUGUAGAAUCUUUUGGUGAGAUUCUUAGUGUUUUAGAAUGAAAGUAGGAGCUCAGUCUUAGGGUUCUUCCUGAUGCUCCAAUGGCCUUUCUUCUCACGUAGAGAGGAUUGGACCAUGUGGUGAGGAGUAGCAGAGGUCUUAGUCUUGGAGGCUCCCAGUAUUCUCCAAGGCGUGGAACAGGCUAACCUCGUGAGUGUGGCAGGGUGGGGAACCCAAGUUUCAUAAGCCACCACGGGUGAUGACCCGCCAUAGCUCGACUCUCAUUCUAAAGUCCGAACGAGUCAAGUCUAGUAUUCAACAUGUUAGGAUGUAUGCCUUAAUCCGUUUUAAUUAAAGUUAACUCUUGACUAUUCUAUGCUUCAUACAUUGUAUGCUUUUAUAUAUAAUUAGCUCACCCUUGCAUUGUUUGUUUGUUGUGUUGUGCCAUGUUGUGUGUGCUUUCCUGUUGCAAUGAUCAUCCACUUGGAUGUGAGCAGAAGAGAAUGAGGUUUCACUGGAGCAUGUCUUGGAGGAGAAUGAAGAUGUUGCUGCCUAGACCCACAGGGCUUUCUUAGUUCUUUUAUGUUCUUUUGAAAACACUUUCAGCUUAAGUUAUUUUGAUAUACUCUCUAACACUUAAAUUUUAAAUUUUCAGCUAUUUCCAGGAUGACUGUAAUUCUAAAUACCUUAAAUACAUCUUUAACUGCUUUCCUUUAUUAUAAUGUAUGACAUCUAAAUUUUAUAUACAUGUCGUAUAUUAUUGGGAUGUCACGUUGAUUUCUUUAAAAAAAUUAGUUAAAAAAGUUUUCUCAUAAAACUAUUUUAAAGUAAUUUUUUUCACCACUUAUUUUAUUAAAGUUUUGCCUCUCUUAAAACAAUAAUAAUAAUAAUAAAAGAAGUUAUGUUACAUUUUUUAAUAAUAAUUUUAUUAUUUCUUUGUUAUCUUUUUCUUCAUGUUCUCCUUAUUACAUUAUAUUUAUAUUAUGUCUGCUUCCACCUAUUUAUUGUACUUACGAAUGAAAAAACAUGGUUUACUUGUGUUUAUUUUCAUCAUGUGUAAGUGAUUUUGUGUUCGUUGAGGUGAGAAUAUAAGGGGAGAAACAAUACAACAAAUGUGAAAUUAUACAAUUGCCCUUCCUUUUUCACACUACCGGACAGACACAGUGAAGUUCUAGAAUUGCCCUCCGUUUUAGUUUUGGGCUUUUUGCUUUUCGCUACACUUGUUUCACUUUCCAUACCCCCAACCCUUCUACUAUUUGGCACCCCUUUUUUCAUAAAUUAACUUUAAACAACUACAUUUUAAUUUGAAAUAAUUUCAUGAAUUCCAUUUUGUUGGUUUUAUUAUCACUUAACAGUUUGUUGCUUCUCUAUUGCUUCCAUUUGGGACAGAAACCGGAGAAGACAAUAUUGUCCAUGUUGGUGUGCUUGCAGUUAUGAUUUUCAAUGGUUUUGUUGUAUGGAUUUUAUUUAUUGAAUGCAGGUAGCGGAUGUUGUUAUUUGAUGAUAAAAGAUGAAGAAAUAUAACAUUUGUGGUUUAAUAAUUUAUUUAUAGUUUUAUAUGUUCUUCAAUUGUAAGGAUUUUUUAAUUUUUGUUUAUUUGUAUCCAAUGAACAAGAAGCAACGAAAUUGGUUGUGGUUUGAGUGAAAGCGAACAUUGCUUUUGAUGGUUUGUUUGUUUGUGGGACACAUCUUGCAUAUUUUGAAAAACUUAUUCCAAAACACUUGUUUCAAAAAAUAGUGUACUCAUUCUAGAAAUAUUGUUCUAAAAAUCUUUUUCUCAAAAUCUCAUUCCAAAAAUCUCGUUUAUAAAUCAAGUUCUAUAAAUUCUAAAAAGUUUGUCUGGAAAUUUUCCAAAAUCAUUUUAAAAAUUAUGAGGUGUGCCACAAAUUUAUAGGGUUGCAAGAAGAAGAGGUCUUCGUCUGUUACCCUCAGCAUUUGCUGAAACAUUUCAUUUAUUUCUUAAACGCAUUUCAUUUGUUUAUUAAUUAAUAACAAUAAUAAAGCAAAAUUUAUCUGUUAAUGACACCUUAGACUUUUAUGUUGACUUUGAAUUGGGUAAGUUAGAAAGAUAUUUCAUUUAGUUGAAGAAUUUAAAAAAAUUAUAUUAAAAUUAAUUGUUUGGAUAAAAGAAUUAAAAAAAUGAAAUUGAAAUUUAUUUUUUGGAAGAUAUUUCAAAUGAAUAAAAUAGAAGAUUUUCAAAUAUCCUAGAAAAUAUAAGAAUUUUAAAAAUUCAUUCCUCUCACACUACUAAUGAAGGUCGAGUUAAGUCACUUAAGCAAAAGAUACAGUCAAAUCAACUUGAAUUGAAGAUCGAGUCGUGUAAAACUAAAAAAAUUACAUGAGAUAAAAUAAAUAUUAAAUAGUAAUAUGUAUUUAAAUUAUUAUUAUUAUAUAAAAUAUUAUGAUAGCUUGUUUAGUUAAAAGCCAUGUGUUGAAGAGUGGGGUUUUGGGUUCAAGUUUUAUCUAUAAUGUUUUGAUUUGUGUUUAUUUCCUUAGUUAUGUGGAGAAUAGUAUUAAAUUUUAUAAAAUGGUAAGUAGGAUAAAGAGAUGUGACUCCUUAUAUGGUAGGAGUUUGUGGUGAUAGGAAAGUCGUAAGGGAAUGAAUCUAUACACAAAAUUAGGUUGAAACGUAAUUAGGUUAAGACAGAAACUUUGGGGAGUUGAGAUCGUUGAUUGGAUGUGUGUGUGUGUUAUACAUGAUUGUUUCAUUUUAUAUUUGUAUAAUAGUGUUGUUAAUAUAGUUGUGUGCUAAGUUAAGGGUGUUGAAUUUAAUUGUAUAUUACAUAUAGUAAUGAUGUAAAUUUAAGUUAUGUGGUUGUUUGAUAAUAUAAAAUGGAAUUGUGUUAUUAUAGAUGUAAUGCUUGCAUAUGUUAUGUGAUGAUGUGCAUAUGAAAAAUGUGUGUCCUAGCUAAAGGUGAGGAAGUUCUGAAGCUGACUUGUAUGUACUUCGUCUCUAAGGCUUGAGGAGGAGGAGAGGAAGUAGUUUUGGAUGGUAAGCUACAUGAUUAUGUUUUAUUAUAUGAAUUAAUGAAAGAUUGAAUGAGACAUGUUAUUAUUCAAUAUCUAUAAAUUUAAUUAUUAUUUUUUUAAUUUAUCUUUGCAUGUUUGUGGUUAUAGUUUUCAAUUUUGAUAAUGGUACAACCAAAUACUGACUUUUUCAUAUGGAUAUUUUCUUGAUGAAGUUGUAUCAACCAAAUACGACUUUUUCCCUUUCCCUAUUGAAAAUUAUCUUCUAACAUUUUGAACCUUUAACCAUAGAUAACUCCUACAAACAUAUUUAUAUAUACACAGUCACUAGAUUGUGUACAUUUAUAUGUGAAGGGAGAAAAUUUUGGAUCAUGCUCCUGUCUAUGAACGACUAAAAUUAAAAGCUUUUAAGGUGAAAUAUUCAUAUAAGCAAAUCAAGUGACUAAAAUCUAAACUGUGAUUUAAUUUUGAUGAUCUAUAAUAGAAUUGAUGCUUAAGUACUAUUUUGGUUUAUGCUAUUCACAUGAUACAUUUUUUUUUUAUAUAAAAAUUAAAUCUAUAAUAAAUUAAAAUUAUCACAAGUAAAGUCUUUGUGAAUAAACUUUUAAACAUAAAUUAUUACUAAUUAUUGAUAGUUUCUUAAAAUUAAAUUUAAGUAAGGAUAAAUAGAUUGAAAAGGAUAUGAGAGAUUGUUAAGAAAAAUCAAAGACACUUUUUGAAUUCAGAUUUUAGACUCUCGUUUUACUAGACUCGUCUAUUUCGAUUUUGCUCCUCAAAACUCAAAAAAAAAAAAUGAAGAUUGAAUAAGAAAUAACCUAUUUAUCAUUUAAGUAACUUUCUGUCAUCAAAGUAGAAAAGAAACUACAAAAAUGAGCUCUAUGACAUCUAAUGUAUUCACUGUCUCGAUCAAAACUUCCCUUUCACAUUAAUGCUCUACACUCACAACAUUGAUUUGAAUUUCACACACAAUAAAUCAUCAAUGGCAUAAAUAGAAAAGGAUCAAAACCUUUCAGCCAAUCUAGCAGUAACUGCUCUUAGUUUGGAAUACACUUUUCCUGCUGGUGAUCCAAGAAUCAGGCUACAAAGAGAAUCCCUGGCAAUCUUUAUGUUGGCAAAAGAUCCCAAUAUGUGAAUUUUGGUGUCAGCAAUCACGAUUCUAGUCUUUGAAGCGUUCUCAAUUGCAAACUUUGUUUUACCACCUUUACCAGACAACCUCCCAAUAGCUCGAGACAAGUGAUCCCCUCGAAGUGUUUUAACAUCCUUGAUCUCAAAGGACUCAACGUAGAGCUCAUCCAGACGCAGAAGAGCAAUGGCAUCUAUGACAUCAAAACCCAGCAUGAAAGCAUGGACAAAAUCAGCACAUUUUUGCAGGUUACUGAUAUCAGGUGUAUCAGCCCUUGUCUUCAGCUCAACUCUACGAGCCUUCAGAUUCAUUCGCACAUCAAUUUUCAUUUGUUCAUAUAUGGGAUUAUAGAUAUCCAUCCAAGCUUUCUUGAGAGGGGUAUAUCGAUGAGGUGGAACAUUAACCUUCCGGAACUGAACCUGACCAUCAGACAUCUCAUGAGGUUUCAAAGCCUCAAACUUUGGCUUUGGCGGCAAAACUUUGCCUUCUGAUGGGAUUGUUUCAACUUCCAUGGAUGAUUGUGCCUCGUUUAACUCCAUUAUGCAACACCUUUUCCAAAGGAAUCCAAAAUAAGUUAGUUUUGAAAUAUACACAACAACAAAAAAUACAUAUUAAACCACUUCUGCAGUCUACACCACACUAUGCUGAUUCCAUGAAAAAUGUACAAAAUUUCUUAAAGUGUCUUAAAUAUACGAUUGUUAACUGUGCCUCAUUUGACUCCAUCACGCAACAACAUUUCCAAAGGAAACCAAAAUAAGUUGGUUUUGAAAUACACACAACAAAAGAAAAAAAAAAAGUAGAAAUUAAACCACUUCAGCAGUCUUCGCCACAUAUGUCAACAUCAGAUAGCACAUGUUUUGUUUCCUUAUUACUAUACAUUUGUUAAUUCUUCAUUGAAGGAAAUAAAGAGUACUUGAGGUUGAUUUGUGAACCAAAUGAAAAAAAUAAAACACUUUUAAGUUAAAUUAAUAGUGAACCAAAAGACAAAUUGUGAAACACAUUAAUAGGUGAUCCAUGGUACACCCAAAGAUCCAUCUCAUCAACAAAGUUAUGUUGUGUAUCUAAAAUGUACCAAUUUGUUUUUCUUUAAUCACCACCUCCUCCCCAAUUUUCCAACUAAUUUACCAUAGACACAAACUCUACUUCACCAGUGUAGAUGAUGAAGGAAAACAAGGUACGCCCAAAAUUUUUUUAAACAAAAAGAAAAAAAAACGUAAAUCGAUUCGUUUCAAAAGAAUAAGGAAAAAAUUGUAAGCAAAAGUAUGAAUGAAGUUUCCGUAAAACUAUGAGAGUAAGUAUUAAAGAUAUAGCGAAAGAUUGAAAGAAAGAAUACCUGAAACACACAACAGUACCACACAGAUGCUGCGGCCUAACCCUAGAAUUCUCAGAAUUGAAUGUUUAAUGUUUUCAUAAGAAAAGAUCUGAAGGCAUUCUACACGGCCGGGUUUUGAAUGGUAACCCGGCCCACUUUGCAUAGGCCCAAUAAGUUUGCCAUAAACCUAAGGUUUUUAUUUCCUGUACCCAACAAUUUAUUACGACUUACCCUCAAAUUUUCAAAAUAAGUAUUUCGGAAAUGAUUUCUAAAAUGCUUUGAAAUAGUAUUUAUGAAACAAAAUUUGCGAAAUAAAACUUUUAAAAUAAAAUUUGAAAUAUAAUUUCCAAAUGUGUAAAAUGUAUUUUGGAAUAAAAUUUUCAAGAAAAUCUUGUAAUUAUGAUUUUGUGGGCCUCACUCCAUUCUAGCACACAUUAAUUUUGAUUUUGUUUUUAAGGACACAACUAAAAAAUUGUAUUUAUAUAUAUAUAUAUAUAUAUAUAUAUGUGUGUGUGUGUGUAUGUAUGUAUAAUGAUCAUAUAAUUACUUAAAAUGUAGAUUAAAAAAAUUAUUAUUAUUUCAUAUACAUUCUGAGUGAGUAAUUACUAAUUAUGCACAUGGAAAGACAUGGAAAAAUUAAUUUUAGAGUAUAAUUUGAAUAAAAUUUUAUAAUAUUAGUCUAAAUAAAUUUGAUUUUUCAAAAAAAAAGUACAUUCAGAUAAAUUACAUCAUAAAUUAUAAGUGUUAAUUCAAUUUUAUAAACUAAAAAAAAGUAUAUUUAAUUAUAUUUUAAAUCAUUUUUAAUUAAUUAUUUUUUAUAGUAAUUACAUUUUAAUUACUUGAUCUUAAAAAAAUAUUUAAAUAAAAUUUAUUAAGGAUAACUAACGAACUCCAUAUAAAUAAAGGAAAUGCUCAUUAUGUGUGCGUUCUUGUCUUUCAUAAAAUGAAACUUUCAGUUAUAUUAGGCAUGGUCCAAUACUUAGCACUUAAAAUGGAACAGUCCAAUUGCAUGUAGUGGCUCGUGAAGGAGAUAACUCUAGAAGAAGCUUGUUUCCGUGGCAUAACCCAAAACACGAAAAGAAAUAGGAGAGAGGACAAAGCGAAAGGAGUGCGAGAGGCGAUGGAGAGAGAAGCAAACGGAGGGCUGCCGAAGGUGCUCAGGCACGGUGGUUGUCGGUGUCGUAGAAGACAAAAGUGUAGAUCGCAACAAGAGAGGUAAGAAAAUCGUGCCCUUUUCUUAUUUCAGUAAACAUGAAUUGAAACUCAGUGUUUUUGUACAUCAAAGGGAAAAAGGGGAAAGGAACUCUAUAUAUAGAGUUCCAUGGGGAAAACAAAAACCAGAAAAUAAACAGAACAACUGUCUUAGGACAGUUAGGAGAACUAUAAGGUUCUCAAUAUCCUCCCCUCAAGCUGGACGGUGUAUACUAACCAGUUCAAGCUUGGGUACAAUAGCUCCAAAUCUGACGCGAUGCGGGAAUUUGGUGAAGAUAUCGGCCAGUUGUUCAUCGGAUCAGACGGGAAGAAGAUGCAGAAGACGCUCUUGUAUCUUUUCACGAACAACGUGACAGUCAAGCUCUAUAUGCUUGGUCCGUUCGUGAAAGCUCUGAUUAUGAGCUAUGUGGCGCGCGAAUUUGUUGUCACGGUAUAGAACAGGUACUCCAGAUUCUUCGGUUUGAAGGUCUUGUAGGAGAUAGUGGAGCCACUGUAUUUCACAAAGUGGCUGCAAGUGCCCUGUAUUUAGCUUCAGUGGAGGAUCUGGAGACAGUCCUCUACUUUUUAGAUUUCCAGGAAAUGAGAGAUGGCCCAAGAAAAAUACAGAACCCCGUAGUGGAUCUCCUUGUGUUGGGACAUGUUGCCUAAUCAGAGUCGCUAAAGGCUUUUAAGUGCUUAGGAGAGUCAGCUGCAAAAAAUAACCCUUCAGAUGGUGAAGAUUUAAUAUAUCUGAGAGAAUGUUGAAUAGCCUGAUAAUGAAAAUAGGUGGGUGAUUGCAUAAAUUGAAUAAGAAGAUUAAUAGUAAAGCAUAAGUCGGGUCUGGUAUUAGUAAGAUAUAAUAACUUCCCUAUCAAUCUUCUAUAGGGUUCAGGAUCAUCCAAAUAGUUGUCUUCUUUGUACAGUGAGCUUGUGUCUUUUAGGAAAGGGGUAAAAGAAGGCUUGCAACCCUGCAUUCUGGUUUCCUUAAGUAUGUCCAAGGCAUACUUCCUCUGACAUAAGUGAAUUCCCUUCUUGGAUCUAGGUACUUCAAGUCCAAGGAAAUAUUUUAGCUCUCCAAGGUUCUUAAUUCUAAACUUUUUGUGUAAAAGUUCCUUUAUGCUGUUAAUUUCCUCCAUAGAAUAUCCUGCCAACACAAUGUCAUCCACAUAUACAAGUAAAGCAGUAAAACUUGUAGUAGUUCUUUUAGUAAAUAGUGAGUGGUCGAAUUUAGAUUGAUUGUAAUUGGCAGAAAUUAGAUAUGAAGAUAAUUUUUCAAACCAUUGCCUACUGGCUUACUUUAAACCAUAUAAAGAUUUAGUCAACUUGCAAACUGUCCUCCUUUGUGGGUAUUCAGACCUGGGGGUAAUUGCAUAUAGACCUCUUCAUUUAAGUCACCAAGUAGAAAGGCAUUGUCAACAUCAAGUUGAUGUAGGAACCAAUUAUUUGAGGUUGCAAGGGCAAUGAGAAGCCUAACAGUGGUAAGUUUGGCCAUAGGGGAGAAGGUGUCCAGGUAGUUUAUUCCUUCCUUUUGAGUAUAUCCCUUUGCUACCAAUCUGGCUUUGUGCCUUUCAAUGCUGCCAUAUGCUUUAUACUUGGUUUUAUAAACCCAUUUACACCCUAUGGGUGUUUUUCCUGGUGGCAGCUCAGUUAGGAUCCAAGUAUUGUUGUCUUGUAAAGCUUUAAUCUCUUUUUGCAUAGCUUCCACCCAUUCACUCUUGACCUUAGCUUCAUUAUAAGUCUGCAGUUCCUUAUUGUUUGUGAUUGCCAUGGUGUAUUUUGAGUGUUUUUCUGACAAAUUAUCACAACAUAACAAAUUAGAAAUCGGGUAAGGAGUUUUAAAACCAUUUUUCACAGAUAAAGAUUGAUUGACCUGAUGGACAUAAUCUCUUAGGUAUUCUGGGGUCUUUCUGAGUUUGUCAGAUCUCUUAUUUUCAUGAUUUUCCUGAUUAUCAGUAGCGUUGUUGCUGUUGUUUUUAUCAACAAAGAUCUGUUGUUGUUCUUCCUGAUUAAAAACAUUUAAGUCUUUGUGUCUGUCUUCAACAAAAGGGUAAUAAUCCCUCAAAAGAUCAUUGAGAGAGUCAGCUUUCUCUUCUUCUGUGAUAGUGUCCUGUCUGUUUCCUUGCACAUCAUUGUAAGGAAAGAUGUUUUCAUGAAAUAUAACAUUUCUGCUUAUGAAAAGUUCUUUGGUGUUUAUAUCUAACACAAUGUAUCCUUUAACACCACCUUUAAAUCCCAGAAAAAUACCUUUUCUAGCUCUAGGAUCAAGUUUAUUUCUGUUGUUCUCUAGAGUAGAAGCAAAACAUAAACAUCCAAAAGCCUUGAGAUCUACGUAAGUUGGUGGUUCAUUAUAAAGCAUGUCAUAAGGAGUUCUAUUAUCAAGAAUGGGUGAGGGCAUUAUGUUUAUCAAAUAGACAACAUGCCCAACAACAUAUGACCAAUAAGCAUUAGGUAUAUUAGAUUGGAAAAGGAGACUACGAGUAACAUUAAGUAUGUGUUGAUGUUUCCUUUCAACAACUGAGUUUUGUUCAGGAGUCUCAACACAACUUUUCUGAUGAUUAAUUCCAUGCAAGUCAUAAAAGUUUUCACAUUUAAAUUCGGGUCCAUUGUCGGAUCAAAUAUUUUUAACCAUUUUGUUGAACUGAUUCUUGACUUUAAUGAUAAAAUUCUGCAAUAAGUCUCUUGUCUGUCCCUUAUUGUUCAUUAGAAAAAUCCAUGUAUGNCUACUAUAGUCAUCUACUAUGGUGAGGAAAUAUCUAUGGCCAUGAACAGAAAUCGUGUUUAGGGGGCCCCAUACAUCAUAGUGAAUAAUCUCAAAGCAUUCAGUAGUAGCAGAAAUACUUUUUGAAAAAGAUAACUUAUGUUGCUUAGCAUAAUGACAAGUGUCACAAACAAAAUUAGUAUUUAUCUUAACAUAAGGAAACUUUUCACAUGUAUGUCUUACAACUCUAUGUCCUGGAUGGCCAAGUCUAAGAUGCCACAGGUUUACAUCAACAUUCUUAAAAGAAAAAACAGUUUUUGAAGUGUAACUUUGAUCCUGUUUAGGAAAAACUUGUAGGUAAUAGAGCUCAUUCCAAGAGUUAGCAUAUCCAAUCAUCUUCAAGGUACAAUUAUCCCUUAUUUGGCAAUGCUUAGAUGAGAAAGUUAGACUGCAAUUCAUAUCUUUGAUAAGACUUUGUACAGAUAUCAAAUUAAAACAAAAAUUUGGUAUAUAAAGAACAUUGAAAAUGAUAAAAUCUUUGGUAAACUGAACUGUUCCAGCAUGGUCAGCAGUGAGUAUAGUGUUAUUAGGUAAUUUGAUAGAAAUCGAUUUAAUUUUGUAGAAGGUAACAAAGUUAGUUUUGUAGAAGGUAACAAAGGUAGCAUGUUCAACACUCCUACCUUGAUUUCUCCAAUUCUGAUCAGGUUUUCAUUGGCUAUUUCUUUCAGCAAAGUUUGCUAGAAUCUUGGUCUCUGUAGGAGUUUGUUUCUCUUGUCUUUCUUAUUGGAUGAUAAGUGAGAAAACCCAGUUGAUAUUGGGGAGGGGAUCCAUUAACAAAAUCUGUGUCCUAACAGUAGUGUAAGAGUCGUUUAAUCCCUUCAGAAAGCAUAUUACAUGCUUGACUUCCCUAUAUUUGAAGGAAACUUUAAAUAAAUCACAGCUGCAAGGAGUUGCACAUGUGCAGGUAGGUAUAGGCCUCAAAGACUCCAGUUCUUCCCAAAGGAUUUUCAGAUCUGUAAAAAAUUGACUCACCCCUCUUUCACCUUGUCUGAUUGAAUGUAUAUCUUGUAACAAGUCAGAGAUCUUAAAGUAAUCUCCCUUGGAAAAUCUUUCCUUGAGCUCAUCCUAUAAUUCUUUUGCCUCUUCGACAUAAAUCACACUUUCAACAAUGUGUGGAGACAAUGUCUUCGUGAUCCAUGAAGAAAUCAUCAUGUUGCAUCUUUCCCAGGCAUCAUAAGCAGCAUCAGUUUUCUGGGGUCUUUUUAUGGUUCCAUCAAUGAAUUUUACCUUAUUCUUGGAAAGCAGAGCUCUCCUCAUGCUUCUGCUCCAAGAUGCAUAAAUAUUCUCGUUCAGAACUUGAGUAAUGAGUGUGAGGCCUGGGUUUUCACCUAAGUGUAGAUAGUAAGGACUUGCUGGGUUGGAUGCCUGAUCUCCUUGAUCCAUGGCAAACGAAAGAAAGCAAGAAAGAAGCCCAAGAAGAUAUCAAGAACACCGGAAGAGCAACGGAAGCAGAAUAGGCACUAGACCUGCUCUGAUACUAUAUUAAGCAUGGCCCAAUACUGUGCACUUAAAAUGGAACGACCCAAUUGCAUGUAGUGGCCCGUGAAGGAGAUAACUCUGGAAGAAGCUUGCUUCCAUGGCAUAACCCAAAACGCGAAAAGAAAUAGGAGAGAGGAUAGAGCGAAAGGAGCGCGAGAGGCGAUGGAGAGAGAAGCAGACGGAGGGCUGCCGGAGGUGCUCAGGCACAGUGGUUGCCGGUGCCGUAGAAGACAAAAGUAUAGAUCGCAACAAGAGAGGUAAGAAAGUCGUGCCCUUUUCUUAUUUCAGUAAACAUGAAUUGAAACUCGUUGUUUUUGUACAUCAAAGGGAAAAGGGGAAAGGAACUCUAUAUAUAGAGUUCCAUGGGGAAAACAAAAACUGGAAAAUAAACAGAACAACUGUCUUAGGACAGUUAGGAGAACUGUAAGGUUCUCAAUAAAUUACAACCACUUUUAUUUUAAAAAAAAAAAACAACACAAAACCAAAGAUUUAUUUUUUAAUCCUAUAUAAGAGAAGCAAGCAGCAUAAUCCAAAGAUUUUUAAUGGAGUUGAUUUGUAUACUAUAAUUGAGGCUCAAAGAUUGCUUUUCUCAAGAGCAAAUAAAAAACUAAUUUGUUCUUAUGUUCUGAACGAUUUACAAUAAACAAUUAAUGUAAGAGAAACCAAUCCUUCAAUUAGGAAAUUUGUAAUUUUACAUACUUCAUUUACAAGUGGUAUAAGGUACAUGUUCAACAAUUACGAAGAUGCUAUGGUUAUUUAUAUGAUAUUUAAUUAUCUAGAUUUGUUUGUAACUAUUACAUGUAAUGUUAAUUGGUGUAAAAUUUAUGACUUUGUUAUAUCAAAAGAAUUAAUAACUUUAGAUAGGUUGGGUAUUUUUUGUAAAGUAUAUAAAAUGAAGUUAGAUCAAAUGAUGACAAAUUUCAUGAAGAAUAAUUUUUUUUGUUAUAUAUGAAUCAUUUUUAAUUACUAAGGAUGUAAAUUAUUCCAUCUCAUUAUUUUUUCGUGAUAUUAGAGAUGUAUUCUAUGGAAUUCCAAAAAAAUGACUCUCACAUGCUCAUAUAUUACUAUGUUUGGCUAGUGAAAACAACUUACAAAAUGCAAAGGACAUUGAUGAAGUUAUCUUUGCUAAACUACUUCAUCCAUAUUUGUAUCCAAAACUUCAAAGGAUGUUGCAACAUAUAUGGUCCAUAUAGAGCUAUUAUACAACUCACCAUGCAUAAAAGAAGCAAGGUGUUCCAAAUUUCAUCUUAAAAAAAGAUAGAAUAUGUGCCUUAUAGUCCUCUUCUUUUAAUGAGAUAUCAAACCCAUGUUAAUAUAAAAUAUUGCAACAAGUCUAACUUAAUCAAGAAUUUGGUUAGAUAUGUGAAUAAAGGUUUUGAAAGAGCAAUAAUGAAAAUUACUAAUAAUCAAGGUAACUUUACAAAAACACCUAUUGUCGAUAAAAUAAAUAGACACUUUUAUUGUAGAUGUUUAAUACUAUAUGAGGUUGUUUGACAAAUUUUUGGUUUUGAUGUUCACACAUAUGACUAGGUGUUCAAAGAUCAAUAUUUCAUCUCCUACAUCAACAAUUAGUAUUGUUUAAAAGUGAUGAACUUGAUGUCAUAUGAAACAAGAACUAACAUGCGAAUACAAUGUUUUUAACUUGGUUUGAGACUAAUAAAAUUGACAAUGAAGGGAAGAACUUGACCUAUGAUAAAUUUUCAAGCAAGUUCGUUUAAAUGGCUCAACAAAAGGAAUGAAAAAUAAAUAAAUUAAAGUUAUAAUAUUGGUAGUCUUUAGACCUGUCAAACAAGCCCAUAAAAUGGGAUUUGGCCCUAGCCCAUGUGGGUUGGGGCCAAAAAAGCCCUUUAUUAAAAAAGCCCCUUGGACUAAAAAGCUCUAAAGCCCCAUGGGUCAGGGCCAACCCAUGGGUUUUCUUUUUUACAGAGAAAACUAAAUACCUAACAAUAAAUUGCAUUUUUGUAGAGAAAAGGAACACUUGUGUUAAGUGUUAUAACUUGGAAAAAUUAAAUAAGAAAACUAGUCAGGAUAUAACAUGAAUAGGAAAAACAGCGAAACGAUAUAACACCUAAAACCAAAAAUAGGUUCAUCAAUUCAAACAUCAAAAAAGAAAAAACUUGAAAAGUAACCUCAAUAAGCAUUCAUAAUUUAGUCAAACAAAUUGAAACACAUGUCAUUAUCAAAUUCUUCUGUUGGCUCGUCCUUCUUUUCCUCUUCCUUUGCUGCAGCAACUAGAGCACCAAAAUCAGCAUCAAGAGUAGCAACAGCAGUUGGAGCACCAGAAUCAACAGUAGGAGCAGCAAAACCAGCUGGAGCACCAGAAUCAACAACAGGAGAAGCAACAACAGCCACUGCAAAUUUGCUUGGGUCCUGCAUUUACAAUGAAGUAUCUUUUAGUCACAGCCUCAAGACUUUCAACCUUAAACUGCAAAAACAACUUGCAACUUGCAAAGGAAAACCACAAUUUGAAGGUAAAGAUUUGCACUACCUAUCCCCACCAAAACCAAAUCCCAAGAACAAGAAAUCUAGACAGUGGGAAAACCCCUACUCAAACCGAAAGCAGAUUCAGAAACACCUCCCUCAAAGAAAGAGAUAAGAUGCCCAAAUGAAGAUACUUAUAUCCCAUAUCCCCAAACACCAAAGUAUGUAGAACAUGGACCAUAUGGCAACAACUUGCAAAAGAAAAGGAAACCUGGUCUCCAACCAAAAGAAUUAACUAGCUAUAAUUCCAAUGAGUACUCCAGCUUCUUCCAAUGCUGAUCAAGUCCUAUAAGAUCACAUUGUUAUGUUCCAUCACCGAGAUAAAUGUACUUCUUCUCUGAUGUAGCAUCAACCGAAUUUUGGAUCCUUUCCAUCACCAAUCCCUGUAUAACAUUAUUAAAAAGUGUCGACCAAUAAUGGUUUCAAAAGUUGAACCUUUGCAAGUAAUAUUAAAAAAAGUUAUGUGCUUAAUAAAAGUGAUAUAUAAUGUGAGAAAUAAAGAAAGAGUUGGAGUUAAUGCAGUUGCCUUGCACAUGUUUGGUGGACAAAGAUUACAUCCAUGAGAAGAUUUGACAUAAUCAUGGUACGAGCAAACUCUGAGAAUCCCUUCUUCAUUAACAUAGCUAGGGUUUGCAGUGAUCUCCGAGAAACAAUUCCAAACCCCAUGAUGCUUCAAAAUUGUUUCAAUAAAGAAACUAUUUGCAUCACUCACCAUCUUCAACUCGCACCUGAACAUAACAAUGUGAUCUUAGGUUCUAUAAAAUCAACAUGAUGGUAAAUGGCAUUUUGCCAAUAACUUGGAGUACUAUAAGCAUGUAAUCAGAUUCAAUUAGCAGAAACCAUGUUAUAAUGAUGCAGCUAAUGAUGCAGCUAAUGAUGCAGCCAAUGUCACACAAAAUGUUACAAUGACUACUCUCAUUAGUUGUUAUAAGACUUAUGGGUGUGUAGUAAUCAUAAUGGAAGAGACUACUUGCACUGACCAGGCUGAAAAUUGGUUCACAAGGACUGAUGAUUCUACUUUGACUAUUCAUUUUGGAGAGGUUCUGAUUGCCAUUUUCAAAUCUGUUACAAACAAAAGAGUAUUUUUAAAAUUUUGGAGAGGUACCAGAGUCAAAUAUUGCAUGAAACUCAACAUCAACAACAAGAUCUUCCACAAAAAUUUGGGUUAUGCUGAUGUUAUAAGUUGGACUGCAGGGAUUAAUUAAGCACCAGUACAAUUAGACACAAGAAUUUUUACCAAAAAUAAUUCUUGUGUUAGCAGCAUCUGUUAUAUCAUCAUAUGUGAUUAAGUUCAACACGUUACAUCUGACAUUACAAAUCAUAUUGAAUUUUAAAGGACUAUCAUUCUACAAAAAUUAUAGACAAUAAUUAAAAAAAUUAAUAAUUAGAAAGUAAAUUAAAGCUAUGAUGUCACCGAGUCUACUUGUGAUCACUUUCACUACCCACAAUGUUGAAGACUUUCAACAUCUUCUAAAUGUUUAGACUCAUCAAUAUCCACAUGACCAAAAAUAUCUUCAACAAUUUCAUUUAUCAUAAGCAAUUGAAAUACAAUCAAACCACUAGUUUAGAAUUAAUAAUUUAAUGUAAAGUACGUAUUUUUAAAAAUAAUAACAUAUACACUUACCACUAGGAUUUUCAGAAAAUCCAUAUAACCAAUUUUGAGUACAAAUCAACAUUUGCACAUGCUCAGGAAGAAUGGAACUUCUAUAUUUUGAAAGUACAUGCCCACCUUUACUAAAAGUUGACUCUGAUGCCAUUGUAGUAAUGGAAAUACUAAGCACAUCUCAAGCCAUUAUAGAUAAUAUUACAAAGUUUUUCUCAUUAGUCUUCCAAUAUUUGAGCACAUCAAAAUCUUCACUGUCUUCAUUAGCAUAUAUUGCUGGUUCAUCUAAAUAAACAUCUAUUUCGUUCUUUCCAAUGAUAGAUUUUGAUUCGUUCUGACACAUUUUAAAAUCCUACAAUGCAUUACAUAUUAAUUAUCAAAACAAAACUGGAAACACUGAAAAAAAAAAUGAACACUAUAUAUAAAAUGCUUACCAAAAUAAUCCUUGAUCUCUUAAACUUUUUCCCUUCAGUAUUGGGCUGAGACAUCAAGAUGGAUUCAGUAGGUGAUUAGGAAAGAGGAAUACUACAGGUAGAAAAGUUCUUUACAUAUCCUUUAAAUAACCUCUUGAACUUCUCUAACACUUUCUUUGUUUUCUCUACACAGGUUAAAGGAUCCAACUUUUUAUAACAAUAUGUUAUAAAAUCAACCUUUAGUCGUGGAUAAAGAAUAGCUCCAAAAGCUAACCCAAUACUAUACUCCUUCCAAUACUUUUGAAACUUUUCUUUCAUAUUACAAGCCAUGUCAAGGUGACAUCUUCAUUCAACAAAUUUUCUUCAAUGAUAAGCUGAAUUUUCCAACUUUGCAUAAAAUACAAGUUUGAAGUGGGAUAAGAUGAACCAGACAUCAUCUUUGUAAUCUCAUAAAAUGGUUCUAAAAAUUGACAUAUUUUCUCUCCCUUAUUCCAUUCCUCAGAAGAUAUUUUCUUCAAUGAUGAGCUGAAUUUUCCAAAUUUGCAUAAAAUACAAGUUUGAAGUGGGAUAAGAUGAACUAGACAUCAUGUUUGUAAUCUCAUAAAAUGGUUCUAAGAGUUGACAUAUUUUCUCUCCCUUAUUCCACUCCUUAGAAGAUGGACAAUUUUUAUAAUUUCUAUCAACCACUUUGAGCAUUAGAAAAGCUUCCUUAUAUUUGAUUGCACUUUCAAGCAUUAAAUAGGUUGAAUUCCAUCUUGUAAUCACAUCUAAUCUCAAACCCAUGCUCAUAUUUAUACUGACAUCACUAACACAUUCUUUGAAUUUGAGAGUUCUUCCAUAUGAUGAUUUAACAUACUUAAUACUCUCUCUAAUACUAUGGAGUGCUUUGUCAAUCAUCUUUAAACCAUCUCGAACUAUCAAAUUAAGAGUAUGAGCACAACAUCGUUCAUGGAAAAAAUCACCAUCACAUAAUAAUUUUUUAUGAACACAAAGAUGACUUUUCAGAAUGUCUUGCAAAAUAUUAUUGGCAGAAACAUUGUCUAGGGUAAUUGAGAAAUUUUUCUUAUCAAUACCCCAUUACUUUAGGCAAUCAAACACAACACUUUCUAGUUCAACACCUGUAUGUGGUGGUUUCAUUCGACAGAUGUUAAGAAUCUUACUUGUCAGAUUUGAGAUUUCCUUUUUAUUGGUGGUAGCACUCUCAGAUGGACCAGGAGUUUCAGAUGAAGAUCAUCAACCAAAAUCAAAGGGUUACUCUUAUGGUGGUCCAUAUUUAAAAGCUAUUGCACACAGCUGCAUAGAUAAAUGAACAAUAUUUUUAGUAGGUGUUCAAUAAAGAUAUUUUUGGGUCAAGAAAACUGCUUUUGAAAAGAGAAAGACGAGACCCAUAAAACAUGGUUCUGCUCUUAUUUCAGCAGCUAUUGGAGGUGUGUAUAUAUUCUACUUAUUUCUUGAUCUACUGGUAACUACUUUAAAUAUAUUCUGAUUAUACAUUUCACACUAUUUCUCGUGUUUUUAGAAUAUAAAGUAAUAUUUUUAAGAGACUUAAAUGGUUAAUUAUACUAAAAAAAUGUUAAAUUUUAAUUAUUUGAAAGGUUAGUUUUUAUCUAACCAAGAAAAGUUUUGGAUGAUGAUGCAAUAAAUUAAUAAUAAAAAAGCAUACAUAAAAGUUGUGGACAAAAAUUACUCUGUGAAAGGAAAAUGAAACUGUGAAAACAAAAGAGACUUGUUUAAUGUGGAAUGUUGACAAUUUUAUUUGGUUUGAUCUUGAUAAGAUACACCAAACUUUCAUAAAAGAUAAUCAUUUCUUUAAUAAGGACCUUAUCUUAUGGAUGAGACUGACACGUUUGCCUACAUGUGAUAUUAUCACAAACCAUCACAUGCAUGUAACCAAAAUAGUAUCUUCAAAGAAAAUCAUUACUAAAAAGCAAAAUACUAAAGCUACUAUUUACAAUAUUUAUUUAUAGUAUAUUUUUAUUUAAUAAAAAUUAAAUUACUAUACUAUAAUUGUGCAUAAAUAAAUACAUUUAUUGCCUAAGAUUCCUACAAAUAA